GAUGAACGCUGGCGGCGUGCCUAAUACAUACAAGUCGAGCGAACAGAUGAGGAGCUUGCUCCUCUGACGUUAGCGGCGGACGGGUGAGUAACACGUGGAUAACCUACCUAUAAGACUGGGAUAACUACGGGAAACCGGAGCUAAUACCGGAUAAUAUAUUGAACCGCAUGGUUCAAUAGUGAAAGACGGUUUUGCUGUCACUUAUAGAUGGAUCCGCGCCGCAUUAGCUAGUUGGUAAGGUAACGGCUUACCAAGGCAACGAUCGGUAGCCGGACUGAGAGGUUGAACGGCCACAUUGGGACUGAGACACGGCCCAG
Molecule: ribosomal RNA, 317 nt
Filed under: uncultured bacterium
Lineage: Bacteria
Description: bacterial SSU rRNA
Rfam family: Bacterial small subunit ribosomal RNA
Source: RNAcentral